This 624-nucleotide ribosomal RNA is filed under the name uncultured Oscillospiraceae bacterium. RNAcentral's name for it is "bacterial SSU rRNA". It matches the Rfam family "Bacterial small subunit ribosomal RNA", at positions 906 to 1533 of the family's 1533-position model. Lineage: Bacteria; Bacillati; Bacillota; Clostridia; Eubacteriales; Oscillospiraceae. The record is from RNAcentral.
GGAAUUGACGGGGGCCCGCACAAGCAGUGGAGUAUGUGGUUUAAUUCGAAGCAACGCGAAGAACCUUACCAGGUCUUGACAUCCAACUAACGAAGCAGAGAUGCAUCAGGUGCCCUUCGGGGAAAGUUGAGACAGGUGGUGCAUGGUUGUCGUCAGCUCGUGUCGUGAGAUGUUGGGUUAAGUCCCGCAACGAGCGCAACCCUUGUGAUUAGUUGCUACGCAAGAGCACUCUAAUCAGACUGCCGUUGACAAAACGGAGGAAGGUGGGGACGACGUCAAAUCAUCAUGCCCUUUAUGACCUGGGCUACACACGUACUACAAUGGCUGUUAACAAAGGGAAGCAAUACCGCGAGGUGGAGCAAACCUAAAAACAGUCUCAGUUCGGAUCGAGGCUGCAACCCGCCUACGUGAAGUUGGAAUUGCUAGUAAUCGCGGAUCAUCAUGCCGCGGUGAAUACGUUCCCGGGCCUUGUACACACCGCCCGUCACACCAUGGGAGCCGGUAAUACCCGAAGUCAGUAGUCUAACCGCAAGGAGGACGCUGCCGAAGGUAGGAUUGGCGACUGGGGUGAAGUCGUAACAAGGUAGCCGUAUCGGAAGGUGCGGCUGGAUCACCUCCUUUAUG